Prosopis cineraria is the source of this 2346-nucleotide long non-coding RNA. RefSeq lists it as uncharacterized. The transcript has 4 exons. The record is from RefSeq and is a predicted model, not a curated record. NCBI's taxonomy places the organism in Eukaryota, Viridiplantae, Streptophyta, Magnoliopsida, Fabales, Fabaceae.
UCUCUGAGUAUAGUUGGUGUUUCAAUUGCGGCUCCUCUUCCUGCUCGACUUCGCUCUUCUCGCUUGACCUGCUCGAAUUCACUCGCUUCCAAUUUCAUGACGCUGUGAUUCGAUUUUCGCUCUCCUGUCACUGGUGGCUGUGCGUCAGGCAUCUCGAUUAUGAGACAGUGAAGAAUGACCAAGUGCUGUUGUAGUAUUGGCCUUGUAGAGGCGUCGUCACCCUCCGUCAAUGCACAGUUUCCUUCAAGUUCAGUAAUCAAAUGUGUUGUGUGGAAAUCGCUGCAAUGAAGUUUUGGAACCUGGCAUGCAUGUUGAUUCUAAUGUCAUGGUGAAUAGCAUACGAAUGAGGUGCACUAUGCAUUUGUCUACCGAUGGCUCACACGAUAGAGCUAUAUAUUCUUAUGACAAAGAAAACCAAUGUCCUUCCCAGCCCUUACGUCGAUUAGGCAUCUCUUAGGUGUGUUGUAUGUGAUUUACAUAGCUGCCAUUUUACAUUUGGUUGAUAAAUACUGUUAUUAUAAUUUCAUCCUGAUAUUUUUGACACAGAGAGAAAAAUUAGAGGAAUAUAUGAUUUGUCGCCUCCUGGUAAUUGCUAAUGAAGCGGCUUCUUAUCAUUGAUUAAUUUCAUUUGGUUGGUUCUUACUUAUUUUUGUAUGCAUGGAAAGGUGGUUCAUCUUUGCACCAGAAGAGAUAUAAAAUUGAUGGUAACACGACGAGAAAUUUUGAAGAGACAAUAAACACACAAGAGGUCAAUGGUUAUAAGAGAUCACUAACGUGAGUGCUGAGAAUUAUCAUGUGAGUUUGCCUAAUCAACUUAGAUAGUCUCGGUGUUACAAUGAAAGAAACAAUCAUAAUCUAAAGACGAAUCCUAACCACAAAAAGCUAGGUGAGUUUUAUUGGCUUCCAUGAAAAAAUCCCUAUGUUUUUAGUCUUAUUUUCAUACUCCCUUUUUUGGUUCCACAUCCAGGAGCUAAAUAGUGAAUAUGCAUAGAACAUAGUUAAACACCCUUUACAAUCCACGCUCAAUAUUUUCCUCCAAAUCUGCUGUUUUGAAAUUAGAACAUGAUGAUGACAUAGCGCUUUUCAAUUUCAUCUUUUUAACCUAUAUAAAAACAGGUUUGAACACUAACAUUUUGAGGGGCGUUGGGUGUAAUUUGGAUAUGCAGAAAUUCACUUAUAGAUAAAAGAGAAAAGCAUGAGUAAUACCUAUGAAGUGAGCAAAGGAAACGUUUUUAUAUAAAGUAUCUUUUCUCUUUUAUAUCUCUAUUAUUUAGCAUUUUAAUUACCUAUAAUAUAUAUAUAUAUAUACACACACAUAUUAUGAUCACGAUUUAUAGUUUGAUUAGAGGAUUUUUAAGACUGGUGAUCUUACUUAAUCACCUUUAACAGCCUUUUUAUAGGGAUUUUUGUUUUACAAUAAACAAAAAAUCUUAUUAAUAAAAAACAUGCUAUGCAAACCUCACAAAACUAUGCUAACAUAUCUUAUAUGUCUUGCUGGACAUAAUAAAGAUGAUAAGGGCAUAAACUAUGACCCUUGACAAAGUAGUGAUGAGAUGGUUUGGGCAUACAUACAAUUAAAGGAAAAAUAUAGACGUCAAUUCUACUAGCUUGUGAACUUGUAAACUUCAAAGUUUCCAAAAUGACCUGUAGUUGCAGUGGAAGUUCAUCAAGUUUCUAUGUUAAUUAUACAUUCUCCCAUUUAAAUGCACAUGUUGGAAGUUUAGGUGGUUUUCUUAUUGUUGACUAAUGUGUCUUGUCCUCAUGUUAUCUUUGUCAUGUAUUGGUAUGGUCUUUGUAGGGCAUUACAAUCAUGGUGCAGUAGCAGAUGACGGUAUUGACUCUACUAAUAAUGUGCAUGCAAUUUCUUGUGCUAGUAAUUCUCUUUCUGAUAUGGGUUUUGUGUUAAAAGUGGAUAUAAGCCCUUCAUGAAUUAAUUUGCUAUUUGUGUUAAAGUUACGUGUUGGUAUGGUCUUUAUAGGGCAUUACAAUCAUGGUGUAGUGACAGAUGAUGGUAUUAGCUCCCCUGAAGAUAUGAAUGCAUUUCUCAUGAUGGCAAUUCCUUUGUGAUAUGGGCUUUGUGUUAAAGUUAUAUUGAUGAAGGUGAUCCUCAUUUCACAUGUCAAGAAUGUGGUGCUUUAAUGUGGUUCAAUGAACAAGCUAAGCAUGCAACAAGAUUUGGAUCUCUUCAUUUUUCUUUGUGUUGUUCACAUGGGAAGAUCAAAAUUCCACUAAUUGAACCAGCACCUCCAUAUUUUGAUCAUUUAUUUUUUGACUUGAACUCUAUUGAUUCAAAAAAAAAAAUUGACAAACAUCAGGCUUAUAAUAACAUGUUCUCUUUUACUUCAA